Molecule: ribosomal RNA, 285 nt
Filed under: uncultured bacterium
Lineage: Bacteria
Description: partial 16S ribosomal RNA
Rfam family: Bacterial small subunit ribosomal RNA
Source: RNAcentral
UCCUACGGGAGGCAGCAGUAGGGAAUCUUCCACAAUGGACGAAAGUCUGAUGGAGCAACGCCGCGUGAGUGAAGAAGGGUUUCGGCUCGUAAAGCUCUGUUGGUAGUGAAGAAAGAUAGAGGGAGUAACUGGCUUUUUUUUGACGGUACCUUAUGAGAAAGCCACGGCUAACUACGUGCCAGCAGCCGCGGUAAUACGUAGGUGGCAAGCGUUAUCCGGAAUUAUUGGGCGUAAAGAGCGCGCCGGAGGUUUAUUAAGUCUUAUGUGAAAGCCCACGGCUUAACC